GGGGAUGUAGUUCAGUAGUAGAGCACUUGCUUAGCAUGCAUGAGGCCCUGAGUUUUACCCCCAGUCUCCUCU
This 72-nucleotide transfer RNA is filed under the name Heterocephalus glaber (naked mole-rat). It matches the Rfam family "tRNA". Rfam says of the family: Transfer RNA (tRNA) molecules are approximately 80 nucleotides in length. Their secondary structure includes four short double-helical elements and three loops (D, anti-codon, and T loops). The record is from Rfam by way of RNAcentral. Lineage: Eukaryota; Metazoa; Chordata; Mammalia; Rodentia; Bathyergidae.